This 444-nucleotide ribosomal RNA is filed under the name Triticum aestivum (bread wheat). Its description in RNAcentral is "partial small subunit ribosomal RNA". Lineage: Eukaryota; Viridiplantae; Streptophyta; Magnoliopsida; Poales; Poaceae. The record is from RNAcentral.
AAAACCGUUCCCCAGCUGGGAGAACAGGCAGCGCAAUCGACCCCCCCGCUUGUUGUACCAACACAUGAGAGUACCGGCGCCGGUCAGCUGGUAAUAACCGACGAGCAUAGAAGGCAAGCUGAAGAGCUUAGUAUCACUGUUCGACAACUCCUAGAGAUCGAGCCCAUGUCUCCUCUUAGAGAGGAGGACAUAAAAUGGAAAUAUGUCCGCGGCAAACCUUUGGUCGAGCCUGAGGAGGUCAAGAACCUCCGAACGAGAAUGUAUGAAUUGCAUGAAUGGUACAUGAAAAUUACCAAGAGUUCCAAUCGAGAGUCCCUCAUGGUGAAAGUCAAUGCAGACCAUUACUUCGAUGCGCUAGCUCUGUCCGUUGAGUAUACAGAACUCUUUCAGUUAUUCAAUCAAGAAGCACUCGACAAAUCUCUCGUCAGUUGCUAUAGUCUGUAA